Molecule: non-coding RNA, 179 nt
Filed under: Desulforudis
Lineage: Bacteria; Bacillati; Bacillota; Clostridia; Thermoanaerobacterales; Desulforudaceae
Also listed under: 1 other name
Description: Candidatus Desulforudis GlcN6P sequence
Rfam family: glmS glucosamine-6-phosphate activated ribozyme aptamer
About the family: This entry contains a glucosamine-6-phosphate activated ribozyme that is found in the mRNA for GlmS. GlmS is an enzyme that uses fructose-6-phosphate and glutamine to generate glucosamine-6-phosphate.
Source: RNAcentral
GAAUAAAAACCAGCGCCAGAACCCCCGUGCCGCGUUUGCGGUGUGUGCAGUGCGGGGGUUGACGAGGGGGAGGUUCAUCGAAGGAUUCGGCGGAUGCCUCCCGGCUUGGGGUCACGGCCGAGAACGGCGCCACAAAACCGCGGGGUGACCCGCGGGACAAAAGCGCCCGGUGACCUGAA